CAGCAGCCGCGGUAAUGCGGAGGGGGCUAGCGUUGUUCGGAAUUACUGGGCGUAAAGCGCACGUAGGCGGCUUGGUAAGUUAGAGGUGAAAGCCCGGAGCUCAACUCCGGAAUUGCCUUUAAGACUGCCGAGCUAGUAGGUGAGAGAGGUAAGUGGAAUUCCGAGUGUAGAGGUGAAAUUCGUAGAUAUUCGGAAGAACACCAGUGGCGAAGGCGGCUUACUGGCUCAUUCUAGACGCUGAGGUGCGAAAGCGUGGGGAGCAAACAGGAUUAGAUACCCGCGUAGUCCCUGUCUCUUAUAC
RNAcentral lists this ribosomal RNA (301 nucleotides) under uncultured bacterium. RNAcentral describes it as "partial 16S ribosomal RNA". It matches the Rfam family "Bacterial small subunit ribosomal RNA", at positions 509 to 807 of the family's 1533-position model. The record is from RNAcentral.